AUGUCCUUCUGGAAGCAGGAGCCGCCGAAGCCGACGCUGGCGGAGAGGAAGCGCGGGCCGAUGCGCGAGUCCUUGCCGAUGGAGCAGGCCACCUCGGUGACGUCGGCGCCGGUGGCCUCGCAGAGCGCGGAGAUGGCGUUGACGGAGGAGAUGCGCUGCGCGAGGAAGGCGUUGGCGGCGAGCUUGGACAGCUCGGCCGACCAGAGGUUGGUGGUGAUGAUGCGGUCCUCGGGGACCCAGCGCGCGUACACGUCCUUGAGGACCUUCACGGCGGCUUGGCCCUCGGGGGUCUCCCGGCCGCCGAUGAGGACGCGGUCGGGCGCGAAGAGGUCCCGCACGGCGGUGCCCUCGGCGAGGAACUCCGGGUUGGACAGGAUCUGGUAG
Molecule: ribosomal RNA, 384 nt
Filed under: Triticum aestivum (bread wheat)
Lineage: Eukaryota; Viridiplantae; Streptophyta; Magnoliopsida; Poales; Poaceae
Description: partial small subunit ribosomal RNA
Source: RNAcentral